RNAcentral lists this ribosomal RNA (2111 nucleotides) under Salmonella enterica. Its description in RNAcentral is "partial 23S ribosomal RNA". It matches the Rfam family "Bacterial large subunit ribosomal RNA", at positions 711 to 2802 of the family's 2925-position model. Lineage: Bacteria; Pseudomonadati; Pseudomonadota; Gammaproteobacteria; Enterobacterales; Enterobacteriaceae. The record is from RNAcentral.
AGACCCGAAACCCGGUGAUCUAGCCAUGGGCAGGUUGAAGGUUGGGUAACACUAACUGGAGGACCGAACCGACUAAUGUUGAAAAAUUAGCGGAUGACCUGUGGCUGGGGGUGAAAGGCCAAUCAAACCGGGAGAUAGCUGGUUCUCCCCGAAAGCUAUUUAGGUAGCGCCUCGUGAAUUCAUCUCCGGGGGUAGAGCACUGUUUCGGCUAGGGGGCCAUCCCGGCUUACCAACCCGAUGCAAACUGCGAAUACCGGAGAAUGUUAUCACGGGAGACACACGGCGGGUGCUAACGUCCGUCGUGAAGAGGGAAACAACCCAGACCGCCAGCUAAGGUCCCAAAGUCAUGGUUAAGUGGGAAACGAUGUGGGAAGGCCCAGACAGCCAGGAUGUUGGCUUAGAAGCAGCCAUCAUUUAAAGAAAGCGUAAUAGCUCACUGGUCGAGUCGGCCUGCGCGGAAGAUGUAACGGGGCUAAACCAUGCACCGAAGCUGCGGCAGCGACGCUGAUGCGUUGUUGGGUAGGGGAGCGUUCUGUAAGCCUGCGAAGGUGGCCUGUGAGGGUUGCUGGAGGUAUCAGAAGUGCGAAUGCUGACAUAAGUAACGAUAAAGCGGGUGAAAAGCCCGCUCGCCGGAAGACCAAGGGUUCCUGUCCAACGUUAAUCGGGGCAGGGUGAGUCGACCCCUAAGGCGAGGCCGAAAGGCGUAGUCGAUGGGAAACGGGUUAAUAUUCCCGUACUUGGUGUUACUGCGAAGGGGGGACGGAGAAGGCUAUGUUGGCCGGGCGACGGUUGUCCCGGUUUAAGCGUGUAGGUGUGUGUUCCAGGUAAAUCCGGUUCACUUUAACACUGAGGCGUGAUGACGAGGCACUACGGUGCUGAAGCAACAAAUGCCCUGCUUCCAGGAAAAGCCUCUAAGCAUCAGGUAACAUCAAAUCGUACCCCAAACCGACACAGGUGGUCAGGUAGAGAAUACCAAGGCGCUUGAGAGAACUCGGGUGAAGGAACUAGGCAAAAUGGUGCCGUAACUUCGGGAGAAGGCACGCUGACACGUAGGUGAAGUGAUUUACUCACGGAGCUGAAGUCAGUCGAAGAUACCAGCUGGCUGCAACUGUUUAUUAAAAACACAGCACUGUGCAAACACGAAAGUGGACGUAUACGGUGUGACGCCUGCCCGGUGCCGGAAGGUUAAUUGAUGGGGUCAGCGCAAGCGAAGCUCCUGAUCGAAGCCCCGGUAAACGGCGGCCGUAACUAUAACGGUCCUAAGGUAGCGAAAUUCCUUGUCGGGUAAGUUCCGACCUGCACGAAUGGCGUAAUGAUGGCCAGGCUGUCUCCACCCGAGACUCAGUGAAAUUGAACUCGCUGUGAAGAUGCAGUGUACCCGCGGCAAGACGGAAAGACCCCGUGAACCUUUACUAUAGCUUGACACUGAACAUUGAGCCUUGAUGUGUAGGAUAGGUGGGAGGCUUUGAAGCGUGGACGCCAGUCUGCGUGGAGCCGACCUUGAAAUACCACCCUUUAAUGUUUGAUGUUCUAACGUGGACCCGUUACCCGGGUUGCGGACAGUGUCUGGUGGGUAGUUUGACUGGGGCGGUCUCCUCCUAAAGAGUAACGGAGGAGCACGAAGGUUGGCUAAUCCUGGUCGGACAUCAGGAGGUUAGUGCAAUGGCAUAAGCCAGCUUGACUGCGAGCGUGACGGCGCGAGCAGGUGCGAAAGCAGGUCAUAGUGAUCCGGUGGUUCUGAAUGGAAGGGCCAUCGCUCAACGGAUAAAAGGUACUCCGGGGAUAACAGGCUGAUACCGCCCAAGAGUUCAUAUCGACGGCGGUGUUUGGCACCUCGAUGUCGGCUCAUCACAUCCUGGGGCUGAAGUAGGUCCCAAGGGUAUGGCUGUUCGCCAUUUAAAGUGGUACGCGAGCUGGGUUUAGAACGUCGUGAGACAGUUCGGUCCCUAUCUGCCGUGGGCGCUGGAGAACUGAGGGGGGCUGCUCCUAGUACGAGAGGACCGGAGUGGACGCAUCACUGGUGUUCGGGUUGUCAUGCCAAUGGCACUGCCCGGUAGCUAAAUGCGGAAGAGAUAAGUGCUGAAAGCAUCUAAGCACGAAACUUGCCCCGA